RNAcentral lists this transfer RNA (60 nucleotides) under Mesaphorura yosii. RNAcentral describes it as "tRNA-Ala". The record is from RNAcentral. Lineage: Eukaryota; Metazoa; Arthropoda; Collembola; Poduromorpha; Tullbergiidae.
AGGGGUGUAGUUAAUAAUAACAUUUGGGUUGCAUUCAAAAAGUGCUUAAAGCCACUCUUA